Molecule: ribosomal RNA, 466 nt
Filed under: Vreelandella stevensii
Lineage: Bacteria; Pseudomonadati; Pseudomonadota; Gammaproteobacteria; Oceanospirillales; Halomonadaceae
Description: partial 16S ribosomal RNA
Rfam family: Bacterial small subunit ribosomal RNA
Source: RNAcentral
CCUACGGGAGGCUGCAGUGGGGAAUAUUGGACAAUGGGCGAAAGCCUGAUCCAGCCAUGCCGCGUGUGUGAAGAAGGCCUUCGGGUUGUAAAGCACUUUCAGUGGGGAAGAAAGCCUUGGGGCUAAUACCCUCGAGGAAGGACAUCACCCACAGAAGAAGCACCGGCUAACUCCGUGCCAGCAGCCGCGGUAAUACGGAGGGGUGCGAGCGUUAAUCGGAAUUACUGGGCGUAAAGCGCGCGUAGGCGGUCUGAUAAGCCGGUUGUGAAAGCCCCGGGCUCAACCUGGGAACGGCAUCCGGAACUGUCAGGCUAGAGUGCAGGAGAGGAAGGUAGAAUUCCCGGUGUAGCGGUGAAAUGCGUAGAGAUCGGGAGGAAUACCAGUGGCGAAGGCGGCCUUCUGGACUGACACUGACGCUGAGGUGCGAAAGCGUGGGUAGCAAACAGGAUUAGAUACCCCAGUAGUC